This 374-nucleotide long non-coding RNA is filed under the name Brassica napus (rape). RNAcentral's name for it is "long non-coding RNA (BNAP_LNC014590)". Lineage: Eukaryota; Viridiplantae; Streptophyta; Magnoliopsida; Brassicales; Brassicaceae. The record is from RNAcentral.
CGUUUUAUCUUGUUAACGAUUGACUAACUUCUGUUAGAAUCAAUGUAGAUUUAAGCACAUUUUAAAAAGUUCAGAUAGUUUUUUUUGAAUUAAAAUUGAGUUGAAGUCGUAUUUGGCACUGAUCAAUUGUUCGGAUCGUAUUUGACACGACCGAAAUUGUUGGGAUCGAAGUUGGCACUUUUCCCUUGUAAUGCAUGUCAUUCACAGUUUUUGCAAUGUGUUUCGUGAUGUUAGGAGUUUUCAAGGCUCCUAAGACAAAUGUUGUAGUAUAGUGAUUGUCGAACCAGUUCUGAGGGAUAUCAAAGCACUGAGAAUGCAAGUACUCACUUAAUCUAAGUGCAACCAAUGAUUUAGAUGGAUUUUAAGCUAUGACU